GACGAAGGAUGCAAGCGUUAUCCGGAUUCAUUGGGUUUAAAGGGAGCGUAGGUGGUCUUAUAAGUCAGUGGUGAAAUCUCUGGGCUUAACCCAGAAAUUGCCAUUGAUACUGUAGGGCUUGAGUAUAGAUGCCGUUGGCGGAAUAUGACAUGUAGUGGUGAAAUACAUAGAGAUGUCAUAGAACACCGAUUGCGAAGGCAGCUAACGAAACUAUAACUGACACUGAGGCUCGAAAGUGUGGGGAUCAAACAGG
This 253-nucleotide ribosomal RNA is filed under the name uncultured bacterium. Its description in RNAcentral is "partial 16S ribosomal RNA". It matches the Rfam family "Bacterial small subunit ribosomal RNA", at positions 524 to 776 of the family's 1533-position model. The record is from RNAcentral.